Carassius auratus (goldfish) is the source of this 2970-nucleotide long non-coding RNA. RefSeq lists it as uncharacterized. The transcript is spliced from 3 exons. The record is from RefSeq and is a predicted model, not a curated record. NCBI's taxonomy places the organism in Eukaryota, Metazoa, Chordata, Actinopteri, Cypriniformes, Cyprinidae.
AAGAUGCUGCAAGGUUUGUUAUACCAAGAAAUGGUGUAAAAUUUCUUCAGAGAGCUAGCUUGAAAUUACAUUUUGGAUGGUAAUAUCAUGGUGUAGCAACAGUUAAAUCAUGCUGAGCAAGUUAAGGAUGGAACACACUACACAACGUCCAUCACACUUGCCGAAAAUGUUUUCAGAACUGUACACUAAAUUACGAAAUUGGACUCCUUCAAGCUGUAAAUUGGGGGUAAAAUCUGUCCAGAAUUUAUGCAUCCCAGGCUUUAGUUAAAGCCUUAAGAAAUUAAAUGGAUUAUUUUAGUUAUUUUAAUAAUAAAGAUGCAUCGUGUAUUUUUACCAGGAGUCUUAAGAAACUUUUUAUUCAGCUUUUUACCUUCAUGUCAAAGAUGGGAAAAAUAAAGCAACAUACUAUACAUAGGCAUGCAUAUCAAUUGAAUGUGUUGUACACUGCUGCCAGAUUGUAAAUUGUUCUUUUUUUUGUGGAAAUGCUUGCACUGGGCACCCUGUUGAGGGAAAAUGGGAAUAAGAGAAUUUUUACUUACCAGUGAACAACUACCUAGCAACCACACCUUGGCAACACCCUAGAUUUUAUUUUUGGUACAAUGCUAAAUGUGAGGUUAAAGAGAGAGAUUAUGUUUUUCCGCAUUGUGUUACCAAAAUAUAAUUUCAUAUAGUUCCACUCAACAUUUUUCUUAAUGUGAAGAAUAUUGUUGAACCUAUUCCACCUAAAAAAAACAACAAAACAAACAAACAAAAACAACAAAAAACUUUAGUGCAAUGGAGAGUUUCCCUGAUUCUUAUAAAUGGAACAACAGAUAGCAAUAGAGAAUCUUUAUUUUCUGUAAACAAACCAUGUUUACAGUCUAAAGGACCACAAAACCUUUCCAGUGUCUUCUAAAAGCUUAGGACAGAAAAACAAAUGAAUACUAUUAUAGCAAUGUGGUGUAAUAAUUCUCCACUUUUACCAAGGUGUUGCAAUAAUGAUAUCUGUUGCUAUCUCAGACAGCAGACACAGCUUCUUUCUGGCUGUGAACAUUAGCAUCGGCUAUGGAAGCACCUGAGGAAAACAAUGACAGAAAGCUUGCGUUUCUUGUCUCCUCUUAAAACCAGUGGCUCCACUGGCAAUCAGUAAUACAAAAACAACAUCUUGUGGCAACAAAGUACAAAUUAGCAUCUCUGAAUCAAAGUGGGUCAUUGACUGGCAUCACUGCUUCCCAAAAAUCUGACCUGACACUGAGUGUUCCAAAUCGGCGCCCCAGUACCCUCCUCUUGAGCGAUGCAGAUGUCCUGGCUCGAGUUACACUUGAAAGACUGAGUCAUGGCUGAUGCCUGGCCCCCCAAUGGACUCAAAGGAACUUGGCUCAGAGAUUUAUGAAACCCAUCCCAUUCCCUGCAUGGAGUCGACAGAGCUUAGAAAAUAUGAGAGAUUUUUGUUUUCCAAACUCUGACUAACUUCUAGCUCCUGAUAAAUUAAGAUACUCAGAAACAAAGAUUGCUUUCAGAUUUUGUUCUGCCGACUACCAAUAUGAAAUUCCUUCCCCUAAAAUGAAGCAAAGAGACUCAUGAAAACUGAAAGAGUUAGGAGUGAAAGGAAACCUCAGAGCAGAUUCACUGUGCUCGAAGCUUUUACGCUCCUUUCUCCACCUCCUCUUCACCAUCCUGAAUUUAUGCUGUAAGAAAAUGUCGAAGGUGGAGAGUAAAGCCUGGCCAAAGAACAGGAUUCACUGAAACAUGGCGGUGGACUGUGGCAGAUGCCACGCACCUUCGCCCACUCUCCACCCACACAGGAGCAGCCGUGUACUCGGGGCAGAUUCUAUGUGCAAGCUGCACUCUGACAGAUAAAGAAAAUCACAUUGAUGCAGAGAGGGAGAAAUGACGAGCUUCUCCUAGUGACUUAGCUCUGAAUAUUAGCGCUGGGCUAAAUGAGUCUGAAAACCCUAUUCACCAAGCAUGGGAUGAAUAGUUGUGAUCGUUCCAGUCAUAUCUAUCACAGAUUUGGUGUUUUUCCGUGGUAGCUCGAUUACAUUUUCAGAGAUAUUUUGUGUCACAGCGGACUGUUUGUUAAGCUGACAGCCAUUUAUAGAGCGCUGCCAUGAAGGGUUAUUGAAACAUGACGUGGGUGAGGGUGUGAGUCUACGGUCUUGCAUAUACAGCUGUAAAUCUGGUGCACUUACCUCGGCUCCAUGCUGUUCCACUUGAGCUGUUUCUUUCAGCACUUCACUGCCAUUUCAGACGAAGGAAAGGGACUUAUUAACUUAUAUGGGAUGAGACAACGGGAGUGCGCUUGCUUCAUAACACUUCACCAACGCCCUGUGCAAGACAAAUGUCAUUAACAUUCCACGGUUAAAUGUUACAGUCCAUCUAAAACAAUUCAGAGCCAAAAUGCUAUUCCACUGGUCAGAAAAAAACAGCCACACUCUUACACCAUUAGUUGAGUCAGUUUUACUAUAUUUUUGAAGAAAUCAACAUAUCAAUUACUUAGAGUUGUCCCUCUAUGUUAAAACUGGAGUAGGAGAAAGCAUUUUAAGAUUAAAAAACGCUUACUUCAAAGACCUAAUUUUUCAGUUGUUUUACCUUAACAACAACUUUUAAAUAAGUCUUCUCUUUCACUGAGAAAAAUACAACCAAGCCUAAUUGAAAAAAACAAAAAAAAGUGUCUGCGGUGAAAUUUCUGUGAAAUUAUAUUAUGUUGCUUCAUGUACAUUUCACAACGUAAAGAAAGUGAAAUAUCCAGUGAGUGGCAUUAAAAAAUUUAUGUGGAUUGCCGUACCAGGUGAGCUAUUGAGCAAGUUUACUAUGCCAUAAAAACCAUGAAUAUGGAGCAGGUUAUAUGAUGCAGUUGUAUAAAUUAUAUGUUUACAAAUCAUGCUCUAUGUUUUUUUUAAGGUUAUAACACAUUAUAAUGCAAAGAAAGACUUAAAACAAGUCUUUAUUAAUUUAAUCUGCUAUAAAUAAUGUGUGUGAAAUAAUAAA